Molecule: unclassified non-coding RNA, 296 nt
Filed under: uncultured fungus
Lineage: Eukaryota; Fungi
Description: sequence contains ITS2
Rfam family: 5.8S ribosomal RNA (bases 1-52)
Source: RNAcentral
AACGCACCUUGCGCUCCUUGGUAUUCCGAGGAGCAUGCCUGUUUGAGUGUCAUGAAAUUCUCAACCUAUCUAGUUUUCUAACUGGUUAGGCUUGGAUCAUGGAAGCUGCUGGCUCAAUUCGAAUCAGCUCUUCUUAAAUGUAUUAGCAAAGACUUUUGCUGACCAUCAUUGGUAUGAUAAUUAUCUAUAUCAUUGGUAACCAGUUCCCUUUCAUAGGGAGGUCUUGCUUCUAAUAGUCGUUUCGACAACUUGACACCUUUGACCUCAAAUCAGGUAGGACUACCCGCUGAACUUAA